Molecule: unclassified non-coding RNA, 317 nt
Filed under: Hevea brasiliensis (rubber tree)
Lineage: Eukaryota; Viridiplantae; Streptophyta; Magnoliopsida; Malpighiales; Euphorbiaceae
Source: RNAcentral
GCUCACAGUACGAAGAACAGUGGAUAACAACAAUGGCGUCCAGCGAUCAAACAGCGUUGCAAUUUUCGGCAUCAUCAGCAAGCUUAUCGGCUAAAGUUCAUCCUUUGGUCAUUUUCAACAUCUGCGAUUGCUUUGUGAGGCGACCUGACCAAGCCGAGCGUAUCAUUGGCACUCUUCUCGGUUCUGUAUUACCUGAUGGUACUGUUGAUGUUAGGAAUUGUUAUGCUGUUCCGCACAGCGAGUCUCAAGAUCAGGUUGCACUGGAUAUUGAUUACCAUCAUAACAUGUUAUCGUCUCAUCAGAAGGUGAAUCCAAAG